This 520-nucleotide ribosomal RNA is filed under the name uncultured Glomus. Its description in RNAcentral is "SSU rRNA". It matches the Rfam family "Eukaryotic small subunit ribosomal RNA", at positions 569 to 1092 of the family's 1831-position model. The record is from RNAcentral. Lineage: Eukaryota; Fungi; Glomeromycota; Glomeromycetes; Glomerales; Glomeraceae.
AGCAGCCGCGGUAAUUCCAGCUCCAAUAGCGUAUAUUAAAGUUGUUGCAGUUAAAAAGCUCGUAGUUGAAUUUCGGGGUUAGUAGGUUGGUCAUGCCUCUGGUAUGUACUGAUCUCACUGAUUCCUCCUUCCUUAUGAACCGUAAUGCCAUUAAUUUGGUGUUGCGGGGAAUUUGGACUGUUACUUUGAAAAAUUAGAGUGUUUAAAGCAGGCUAACGCUUGAAUACAUUAGCAUGGAAUAAUGAAAUAGGACGUUCGAUCUUAUUUCGUUGGUUUCUAGGAUUGACGUAAUGAUUAAUAGGGAUAGUUGGGGGCAUUAGUAUUCAAUUGUCAGAGGUGAAAUUCUUGGAUUUAUUGAAGACUAACUACUGCGAAAGCAUUUGCCAAGGAUGUUUUCAUUAAUCAAGAACGAAAGUUAGGGGAUCGAAGACGAUCAGAUACCGUCGUAGUCUUAACCAUAAACUAUGCCGACUAGGGAUCGGAUGAUGUUAAUUUUUAAUGACUCAUUCGGCGCCUUACG